Non-coding RNA from Podarcis lilfordi (Lilford's wall lizard), 69 nucleotides. Lineage: Eukaryota; Metazoa; Chordata; Lepidosauria; Squamata; Lacertidae. The record is from the annotation of a GenBank genome assembly.
UGUGUAACUCAGUGGUAGAACAUCUGAUUUGCAUUCAGAAGAUCCAAGCUUCAACCCCUUGCAUCUCAA